RNAcentral lists this ribosomal RNA (460 nucleotides) under uncultured bacterium. RNAcentral's name for it is "partial 16S ribosomal RNA". It matches the Rfam family "Bacterial small subunit ribosomal RNA", at positions 338 to 795 of the family's 1533-position model. The record is from RNAcentral.
CCUACGGGGGGCAGCAGUGAGGAAUAUUGGUCAAUUGACGAGAGUCUGAACCAGCCAAGUAGCGUGAAGGAUGACUGCCCUAUGGGUUGUAAACUUCUUUUAUAUGGGAAUAAAAUGUUCCACGUGUGGGAUUUUGUAUGUACCAUAUGAAUAAGGAUCGGCUAACUCCGUGCCAGCAGCCGCGGUAAUACGGAGGAUCCGAGCGUUAUCCGGAUUUAUUGGGUUUAAAGGGAGCGUAGGUGGAUUGUUAAGUCAGUUGUGAAAGUUUGCGGCUCAACCGUAAAAUUGCAGUUGAAACUGGCAGUCUUGAGUACAGUAGAGGUGGGCGGAAUUCGUGGUGUAGCGGUGAAAUGCUUAGAUAUCACGAAGAACUCCGAUUGCGAAGGCAGUUCACUGGACUGCAACUGACACUGAGGCUCGAAAGUGUGGGUAUCAAACAGGAUUAGAUACCCCAGUAGUC